AUGGACGGCGAGUCAUUUUUCGAUAGGAUGGUUUCCCAGCUUCGGUCGACAUCCAAGUACUACACUGGAUAUCCCAAGGAUCUAGGGCCAUCAAGAAUCAUACCGUUCACAUCAGAGCGUCAGUUUGUGCAGCUAUUACAUGAAGGACGGCCUGUAGUUGUGGCCUUUACCAUUAAGUGCACUUAUACACAGCAUCUUGACAAAGUACUGGAGGAAGCUGCUGCUACAUUUUAUCCUCAUAUAAAGUUUGUUCGGGUGGAAUGCCCAAAGUAUCCUGGGUUUUGCCUCACGAGGCAAAAGACUGAGUAUCCAUUUCUUGAAGUAUUUUACAACCCAGAACAGGCUGCUAACCCAGGUAAGAUGGUGGAUCCGAGCAUCAUGAAAUACUCCGCAAAAGUCCUACCUUUCAACUAUGACCAGAGCGUGUAUGGAUUUCGAGAGUAUUUUAACAAGUAUGGGUUCAAGUAUUCCGAAGCAAACUAG
RNAcentral lists this ribosomal RNA (483 nucleotides) under Triticum aestivum (bread wheat). Its description in RNAcentral is "partial small subunit ribosomal RNA". Lineage: Eukaryota; Viridiplantae; Streptophyta; Magnoliopsida; Poales; Poaceae. The record is from RNAcentral.